GUGCUUGGUUCAGCAGCACAUAUACUAAAAUGGGAACAACACAGAGAAGAUUUGCAUGGUCCCUGCCACAUUUGUGAAGCAUUCCACAUAAAAAAUAAAAUAAUCAUU
Talpa occidentalis (Iberian mole) is the source of this 108-nucleotide small nuclear RNA. The record is from RefSeq and is a predicted model, not a curated record. NCBI's taxonomy places the organism in Eukaryota, Metazoa, Chordata, Mammalia, Eulipotyphla, Talpidae.